CGCCAGACUCCUACGGGAGGCAGCAGUGGGGGAUAUUGCACAAUGGGGGGAACCCUGAUGCAGCGACGCCGCGUGGGUGAAGAAGCGCCUCGGCGCGUAAAGCCCUGUCAGCAGGGAAGAAAAUGACGGUACCUGAAGAAGAAGCCCCGGCUAACUACGUGCCAGCAGCCGCGGUAAUACGUAUGGAGCAAGCGUUAUCCGGAUUUACUGGGUGUAAAGGGAGCGUAGGCGGCCCUGUAAGUCUGAUGUGAAAAUUUGGGGCUCAACCCCAAACGUGCAUUGGAAACUGCAGGGCUUGAGUGCCGGAGAGGCAGGCGGAAUUCCUAGUGUAGCGGUGAAAUGCGUAGAUAUUAGGAGGAACACCAGUGGCGAAGGCGGCCUGCUGGACGGUAACUGACGCUGAGGCUCGAAAGUGUGGAGAGCAAACAGGAUUAGAUACCCCCGUAGAC
RNAcentral lists this ribosomal RNA (449 nucleotides) under uncultured bacterium. RNAcentral's name for it is "partial 16S ribosomal RNA". It matches the Rfam family "Bacterial small subunit ribosomal RNA", at positions 329 to 795 of the family's 1533-position model. The record is from RNAcentral.